GUCUACAGCCAUGCCACCCUGAAUGUGCCCGAUCCUGUCUGAUCCUGGAAGCUAAGCAGGGUCGGGCCUGGUUAGUACUCGGGUGGGAGACCACUUAGAAAUACCAGGUGCUGCAGGCA
This 119-nucleotide ribosomal RNA is filed under the name Pteropus alecto (black flying fox). The record is from RNAcentral. Lineage: Eukaryota; Metazoa; Chordata; Mammalia; Chiroptera; Pteropodidae.